ACAGGGUACCUUUCUAUAACUGGGUGAACUCGAUCUCCUGACCUCUCAAGAUACUUCUUCAUGAAAGUUCACUCUUGCAUUUUCCAAAACGGAAUCUCUUUUUAUCACAUUAAGCAAAUUGCUCAAAGACAAAGUUCAAUGUCAACGUAAUAUGGGGUUAACACACACCCCCAAGGUUCAAGCGUGCAGUGGGAUUAUACAUUGGA
This is a long non-coding RNA of Xenopus laevis (African clawed frog), 206 nucleotides long. RefSeq lists it as uncharacterized. The record is from RefSeq and is a predicted model, not a curated record. NCBI's taxonomy places the organism in Eukaryota, Metazoa, Chordata, Amphibia, Anura, Pipidae. The transcript has 3 exons.